ACUCAAAUGAAUUGACGGGGGACCGCACAAGCGGUGGAGCAUGUGGAUUAAUUCGUCACUAACCGAAGAACCUUACCCAGGUUUGACAUCCUAGGAACCCCUGUGAAAGUGGGGGGUGCCCUUCGGGGAGCCUAGAGACAGAUGUUGCAUGGCUGUCGUCAGCUCGUGUCGUGAGAUGUUGGGUUAAGUCCCGCAACGAGCGCAACCCUCACCGUAUGUUGCCAGCGUAAAGUCGGGAACUCUUACGGAACUGCCCGUGCAAGCGGGAGGAAGGUGGGGAUGACGUCAAGUCGGCAUGGCUCUUACACCUGGGGCUUCACACAUGCUACAAUGGGCGAUACAAAGGGUCGCGAACCCGUGAGGGGAAGCCAAUCUCAAAAAAUCGUCCUCAGUUCGGAUUGUAGGCUGCAACUCGCCUACAUGAAGCUGGAAUCGCUAGUAACCGCAGGUCAGCUAAACUGCGGUGAAUACGUUCCCGGUCCUUGCACACACCGCCCGU
Molecule: ribosomal RNA, 499 nt
Filed under: uncultured bacterium
Lineage: Bacteria
Description: partial 16S ribosomal RNA
Rfam family: Bacterial small subunit ribosomal RNA
Source: RNAcentral